UACGAAGGGGGCUAGCGUUGUUCGGAAUUACUGGGCGUAAAGCGCACGUAGGCGGAUACUUAAGUCAGGGGUGAAAUCCCGGGGCUCAACCCCGGAACUGCCUUUGAUACUGGGUAUCUCGAGUCCGGAAGAGGUGAGUGGAAUUCCGAGUGUAGAGGUGAAAUUCGUAGAUAUUCGGAGGAACACCAGUGGCGAAGGCAGCUCACUGGUCCGGUACUGACGCUGAGACGCGAAAGCGUGGGGAGCAAACAGG
This 253-nucleotide ribosomal RNA is filed under the name uncultured bacterium. Its description in RNAcentral is "partial 16S ribosomal RNA". It matches the Rfam family "Bacterial small subunit ribosomal RNA", at positions 524 to 776 of the family's 1533-position model. The record is from RNAcentral.